UACGGAGGGUGCGAGCGUUGUCCGGAAUCAUUGGGCGUAAAGGGCGCGUAGGUGGCCCGGUCAGUUCGUGGUGAAAGCGCGGGGAUCAACCCUGCGUCGGCCAUGAAUACUGCCGCGGCUGGAGCACUGUAGAGGCAGGCGGAAUUCCGGGUGUAGCGGUGGAAUGCGUAGAGAUCCGGAAGAACACCGGUGGCGAAGGCGGCCUGCUGGGCAGUUGCUGACACUGAGGCGCGACAGCGUGGGGAGCAAACAGG
This 254-nucleotide ribosomal RNA is filed under the name uncultured bacterium. RNAcentral's name for it is "partial 16S ribosomal RNA". It matches the Rfam family "Bacterial small subunit ribosomal RNA", at positions 524 to 776 of the family's 1533-position model. The record is from RNAcentral.